Molecule: ribosomal RNA, 440 nt
Filed under: uncultured bacterium
Lineage: Bacteria
Description: partial 16S ribosomal RNA
Rfam family: Bacterial small subunit ribosomal RNA
Source: RNAcentral
CCUACGGGAGGCAGCAGUGGGGAAUAUUGCACAAUGGGGGAAACCCUGAUGCAGCAACGCCGCGUGAAGGAAGAAGUCUUUCGGUAUGUAAACUUCUUUCCUCAGGGAAGAAAAUGAUGGUACUUCACCAGGAAUCCGCCACUAAAUACGUGCCAGCAGCCGCGGUAAUACUACGUGGGUAAGCGUCAUUCGGAUUAAUUGGUUGUAAUGGGGGCGUAGGCGGCGGAGCAAGUCAGAAGUGAAAGCCCGGGGCUCAACUCCGAGACUGCUUUUGAAACUGUGUUGUUAGAUUGCAGGAGAGGUAAGUGGAAUGCCGAGUGUAGCGGUGAAAUGCGUAGAUAUUAGGAGGAACACCAGUGGCGAAGGCGGAUUGCUGGACUGUAAAUGACGCUGAGGCUCGAAAGCGUGGGGAGCAAACAGGAUUAGAUACCCCUGUAGUC